Mus musculus (house mouse) is the source of this 868-nucleotide long non-coding RNA. RefSeq annotates it as predicted gene, 40272. The transcript has 3 exons. Lineage: Eukaryota; Metazoa; Chordata; Mammalia; Rodentia; Muridae. The record is from RefSeq and is a predicted model, not a curated record.
CUCCUGCCAGCAGUAGAACUUCUGCCCCAAGGGCUCAGCAGCUGGUGUAGUACUGUGAUUCUGUUACCAUGGUGACCAGCAUUCCACCUUCUGCCCCUGAGUUGGCAAACAGGUUCUUUUGAUGCCCUGGCUAAGAACCCUCACCUCCAAAACAACAAACAGAAAGGCAGGCCAAAAGCAGCCUUGAGAUGUUGACUCAGGGAGUCACGAUGCCUGGGAUGGAAUCCCAGAUCUGCCACGUGCUUACUGUGUGACCUGGAGCAAGCUACACAACCUCUGUGGUGCUUUUUGCUCUUACCCCUUCAAGGGGAUGAAAGUCUCAGCAUCAUUGCCGGGAUCCACUGAGUCGAUGCAGGUGAUGUUUAUUACUGACACAUAGAAUGUGCUCACUAAGUUUUAGAGCCAGAUCUUGAGUACUGUGCAGAGUGUGAGCUACAGAGAUGGAGAAACAUAGACCCCGACUUCAGUAGAUGGCCUACAGGGUACAGAAGGGUACUUUAUGCCAUCAGUCUGAGUCCCUGUAGGGACAGAAGGUGCAUUCAAAUUUGGACCAGAUGAAGGGACUCUGCACAAAGACAACAGCUAAGUUCAGUGUGAUGAUCCUGGGUGACCUUCAACCAAGUGGAGGUAGGAGUUGGAAGUGCUUCAGGAGACAGACCUAUGGCUUCAGCAAGUCUAGGUACCACACAGGUCAACGUUUGAAGAUUGCCGAGGAGGCUAAGCUGGCUGGCCAGCCCUGGAGAGUUGCGAGUCUCUGUCAUACCAGCGCUGGAACUGAAGCCCUGCUGCCAUGCCUGGCUUCUUCUACAUUCUAAGUCCAUACCUUAUAAUAAGGUGUGCUGGCUAGUUUUGUGUCAACUUGACACAG